This 2184-nucleotide ribosomal RNA is filed under the name human oral metagenome. RNAcentral describes it as "bacterial LSU rRNA". It matches the Rfam family "Bacterial large subunit ribosomal RNA", at positions 717 to 2925 of the family's 2925-position model. The record is from RNAcentral.
GAAACCUGGUGAUCUAAACCUGUCCAGGAUGAAGCUGUGGUAAGACACAGUGGAGGUCCUAACCCACCGCCGUUGAAAAGUUGGGGGAUGAGGUAGGUUUAGGGGUGAAAAGCCAAUCGAACCAGGAGAUAGCUCGUUCUCUCCGAAAUGCAUCUAGGUGCAGCCUUGAGUGUUCAAUUAUGGGGGUAGAGCACUGAAUGAUCUAGGGGGCAUAUUGCUUACUGAAAUCAAUCAAACUCCGAAUACCAUAAUUUAUAGCUCAGGAGUGAGACUAUGGGAGUUAACUUCCAUUGUCAAAAGGGAAACAACCCAGACCACCAGCUAAGGUCCCUAAUUAUAACUAAGUGGGAAAGGAGGUGGAGAUUCACAAACAACUAGGAGGUUGGCUUAGAAGCAGCCAUACCUUUAAAGAGUGCGUAAUAGCUCACUAGUCGAGAGUCUCUGCGCCGACAAUGUAACGGGGCUAAGUUAUAAACCGAAGCUGUGGAAUCCUUUUGGAUUGGUAGGAGAGCGUUCUGUAGGCCGUUGAAGAAGAAGGGUAACCGACUUUGGAGGUAUCAGAAGUGAGAAUGCAGGAAUAAGUAGCGAGAAAGGGGGCGAGAAUCCCCCUCGCCGGAAGACCAAGGUUUUCAGGGUAAAGCUUGUCUUCCCUGAGUAAGCCGGGACCUAAGCCCAGGCUAUAAUGCGUAGGCGAAUGGAAAACAGAUUAAUAUUUCUGUGCCAGUCAUUUAUUGUGAUGGAGGGACGCAGAAGGGUAUGCGCGCGGACGAUCGGUUGUGUCCGUAGAAGUAUGUAGGAUGACUUAGUAGGUAAAUCCAUUAAGUUAUAUCUGAGGUAUGAUAUACAGUCGUAAGAUGAAUGCGCAAAUCCCACGCUGCCAAGAAAAGCUUCUAACGUUAAUAUAUGACUGCCCGUACUGUAAACCGACACAGGUGGUCAGGAUGAGAAAUCUAAGGCGGACAGGCUAACUCUCGUUAAGGAACUCUGCAAAAUAACCUCGUAACUUCGGGAGAAGAGGAGCCCUUGAGUGUUAGUAUCCAUGCGAUACAAAGCGCUCGAGGGUCGCAGUGAAGAGGCUCAAGCAACUGUUUAACAAAAACACAGGUCUAUGCUAAGCUGGAAGGCGAUGUAUAUGGGCUGACACCUGCCCAGUGCUGGAAGGUUAAGAGGAGGAGUGAGAGCUCCGAAUUGAAGCCCCAGUGAACGGCGGCCGUAACUAUAACGGUCCUAAGGUAGCGAAAUUCCUUGUCGGGUAAGUUCCGACCUGCACGAAUGGUGUAAUGAUUUGAGCGCUGUCUUGACGGGAGGCCUGGUGAAAUUGUAUUACCGGUGAAGAUACCGGUUACCUACAGUAGGACGGAAAGACCCCAUGGAGCUUUACUGUAGCUUGGUAUUGGGUUUUGGCAUUGCAUGUAUAGGAUAGUUGGGAGACUAUGAUGAUAUGGCGCUAGCUGUAUCGGAGUCAUCGGUGGAAUACCAACCAUUCAAUGCUGAAAUUCUAAUCUGUGGUUUGUAGCCACGGAGACAGUGCUAGGUGGGCAGUUUGACUGGGGCGGUCGCCUCCGAAAGAGUAACGGAGGCGUUCAAAGGUUCUCUCAGGUUGGAUGGAAAUCAACCAUAGAGUGCAAUGGCAUAAGAGAGCUUGACUGCAAGACUGACGGGUCGAGCAGAUGCGAAAGCAGGACAUAGUGAUCCGGCGAUUCCGAAUGGAAGGGUCGUCGCUCAACGGAUAAAAGCUACCCUGGGGAUAACAGGCUGAUCCUACCCGAGAGUCCAUAUCGACGGUAGGGUUUGGCACCUCGAUGUCGGCUCAUCGCAUCCUGGGGCUGGAGAAGGUCCCAAGGGUUGGGCUGUUCGCCCAUUAAAGCGGUACGUGAGCUGGGUUCAGAACGUCGUGAGACAGUUCGGUCCCUAUCCACUGUAGGCGUUAGAAUAUUGAGAAGACCUGUCCUUAGUACGAGAGGACCGGGAUGGACAAACCUCUGAUGUACCAGUUGUCACGCCAGUGGCACAGCUGGGUAGUCACGUUUGGAAUAGAUAACCGCUGAAAGCAUCUAAGCGGGAAACUAACUUCAAGAUAAGUAUUCUUUAAGAUACCUUCGAGCCUAGGAGGUUGAUAGGUUGGGGGUGUAAGUACAGCAAUGUAUUUAGCUGACCAAUACUAAUUAUCGAAGUUUUAAUCUA